CGGAAGGAUCAUUAUUAUAAUGCGUGGAAAUGCCCCUAACAAGGGCUCUCUAGAAAACUCUAAACUUACUGUCUGAGAAGGCCAUGUGCCGUAAUCUUUAAACAUAUUAAAACCUUCAACAACGGAUCUCUUGGUUCUCGCAUCGAUGAAGAACGCAGCGAAAUGCGAUAAGUAAUGUGAAUUGCAGAAUUCAGUGAAUCAUCGAAUCUUUGAACGCACAUUGCGCCCUUUGGUAUUCCAUAGGGCAUGCCUGUUCGAGCGUCACUAACAACACCAUCACAAAGACUGUGGUAUUGGCAGAAGUGGGCAGGGCUAGCAGUGCUUAACCUCACUCUGCUGAAAUGAAUAGGCCGGAAAUGGAGACCAUUGUAACAAACCUUCAGAGUAUCUUAAUCAUACUAAAUUAGUUUGUAGGCUGGUCAGAAUUCAGGCCAUUUGACCCCCAUUCUGUGUAAAGCAGUAAUGUUGACCUCGGAUCAGGUAGGGAUACCCGCUGAACUUAA
Molecule: ribosomal RNA, 503 nt
Filed under: uncultured Tuber
Lineage: Eukaryota; Fungi; Ascomycota; Pezizomycetes; Pezizales; Tuberaceae
Description: eukaryotic LSU rRNA
Rfam family: 5.8S ribosomal RNA (bases 111-264)
Source: RNAcentral